CAGGCUUAACACAUGCAAGUCGAGGGGCAGCAUUUCAGUUUGCUUGCAAACUGGAGAUGGCGACCGGCGCACGGGUGAGUAACACGUAUCCAACCUGCCGAUAACUCGGGGAUAGCCUUUCGAAAGAAAGAUUAAUACCCGAUGGUAUAAUCAGACCGCAUGGUUUGAUUAUUAAAGAAUUUCGGUUAUCGAUGGGGAUGCGUUCCAUUAGGCAGUUGGUGAGGUAACGGCUCACCAAACCUUCGAUGGAUAGGGGUUCUGAGAGGAAGGUCCCCCACAUUGGAACUGAGACACGGUCCAAACUCCUACGGGAGGCAGCAGUGAGGAAUAUUGGUCAAUGGGCGCAGGCCUGAACCAGCCAAGUAGCGUGGAGGAUGACUGCCCUAUGGGUUGUAAACUUCUUUUAUAUGGGAAUAAAGUUUUCCACGUGUGGAAUUUUGUAUGUACCAUAUGAAUAAGGAUCGGCUAACUCCGUGCCAGCAGCCGCGGUAAUACGGAGGAUCCGAGCGUUAUCCGGAUUUAUUGGGUUUAAAGGGAGCGUAGGUGGACAGUUAAGUCAGUUGUGAAAGUUUGCGGCUCAACCGUAAAAUUGCAGUUGAUACUGGCUGUCUUGAGUACAGUAGAGGUGGGCGGAAUUCGUGGUGUAGCGGUGAAAUGCUUAGAUAUCACGAAGAACUCCGAUUGCGAAGGCAGCUCACUGGACUGCAACUGACACUGAUGCUCGAAGGUGUGGGUAUCAAACAGGAUUAGAUACCCUGGUAGUCCACACAGUAAACGAUGAAUACUCGCUGUUUGCGAUAUACAGUAAGCGGCCAAGCGAAAGCAUUAAGUAUUCCACCUGGGGAGUACGCCGGCAACGGUGAAACUCAAAGGAAUUGACGGGGGCCCGCACAAGCGGAGGAACAUGUGGUUUAAUUCGAUGAUACGCGAGGAACCUUACCCGGGCUUAAAUUGCAUUUGAAUAAUCUGGAAACAGGUUAGCCGCAAGGCAAAUGUGAAGGUGCUGCAUGGUUGUCGUCAGCUCGUGCCGUGAGGUGUCGGCUUAAGUGCCAUAACGAGCGCAACCCUUAUCUUUAGUUACUAACAGGUCAUGCUGAGGACUCUAGAGAGACUGCCGUCGUAAGAUGUGAGGAAGGUGGGGAUGACGUCAAAUCAGCACGGCCCUUACGUCCGGGGCUACACACGUGUUACAAUGGGGGGUACAGAAGGCAGCUACCUGGUGACAGGAUGCUAAUCCCAAAAGCCUCUCUCAGUUCGGAUCGAAGUCUGCAACCCGACUUCGUGAAGCUGGAUUCGCUAGUAAUCGCGCAUCAGCCAUGGCGCGGUGAAUACGUUCCCGGGCCUUGUACACACCGCCCGUCAAGCCAUGAAAGCCGGGGGUACCUGAAGUACGUAACCGCAAGGAGCGUCCUAGGGUAAAACUGGUAAUUGGGGC
Molecule: ribosomal RNA, 1435 nt
Filed under: uncultured organism
Description: 16S ribosomal RNA
Rfam family: Bacterial small subunit ribosomal RNA
Source: RNAcentral